Molecule: ribosomal RNA, 305 nt
Filed under: uncultured bacterium
Lineage: Bacteria
Description: partial 16S ribosomal RNA
Rfam family: Bacterial small subunit ribosomal RNA
Source: RNAcentral
ACAGCAGUAGCCGCGGUAAUACGGAGGGUGCAAGCGUUAAUCGGAAUUACUGGGCGUAAAGCGCACGCAGGCGGUCUGACAAGUCAGAUGUGAAAUCCCCGGGCUUAACUUAGGAAUUGCAUUCGAUACUGGGAAGCUAGAGUAUGGGAGAGGAUGGUAGAAUUCCAGGUGUAGCGGUGAAAUGCGUAGAGAUCUGGAGGAAUACCGAUGGCGAAGGCAGCCAUCUGGCCUAAUACUGACGCUGAGGUACGAAAGCAUGGGGAGCAAACAGGAUUAGAGACCCCUGUAGUCCCUGUCUCUUAUAC